This 177-nucleotide ribosomal RNA is filed under the name Pseudomonas chlororaphis. Its description in RNAcentral is "partial 23S ribosomal RNA". It matches the Rfam family "Bacterial large subunit ribosomal RNA", at positions 2771 to 2925 of the family's 2925-position model. The record is from RNAcentral. Lineage: Bacteria; Pseudomonadati; Pseudomonadota; Gammaproteobacteria; Pseudomonadales; Pseudomonadaceae.
CUGAAAGCAUCUAAGCGGGAAACUUGCCUCAAGAUGAGAUCUCACUGGAACCUUGAGUUCCCUAAAGGGCCGUCGAAGACUACGACGUUGAUAGGUUGGGUGUGUAAGCGCUGUGAGGCGUUGAGCUAACCAAUACUAAUUGCCCGUGAGGCUUGACCAUAUAACACCCAAGCAAUU